GCUCUCGGAUUCUCCGCCUCCCCCAGUUUCAGUAGAAAAAGAGUGGGCUAACAGUACCUAACCUGGUUCCAGAAUCCUUCUGUGAUGAAUUACCUCACCGGUUACUGGGCUGGGACCCUCCUUUCUCUUCUGCUUGGCCACAUCUCGAAGCCGCAGGGGACCUCUUGGUCCUUCACUCCCUGGGGAGCCUUCGGAGGGAGUCACACGGCCCCUCCCCGCCGGAAAGGAAGCUGCCGGCCGACCCAGUGACUGACAGGCUGCCCUGGCUCAGUUAUCACAGUGCUGAUGCUGUCCAUUCUAAAGGUACAGUACUGUGAUAACUGAAGGAUGGCAGCCAUCUUGCCUUCCAGCCGAGGAGCCCCCAUCCUGCCCGGGAAGGAAGACGGAGGACCGGCUCGGCCUGCGUAACGGUGCCAGGGACCCGGGAAGCCUCUGGCCCUGUGCCGCACCGCCCCUCGCUCCCGCGCGCGCGCGCAGGGCGUUGCUCCUGCUUCCGUCUUCGCCUCGUUCGGGGAUGCGCGGUGCAACGAGGGGUUGGGUAGUGGUUUUCCCUCGUGUGCGGAGCAGAUGUGCUGUUGAGAGCUUUGGAACUUUGAAGAGACUGGUAUCAGAUAAGCGCUAAGUGUGGAUUCGUAUUUCUGGAAUGUUUGUCAUUCAGAGAAAUUUGUGCCGCUUUGAGAAACCUAAAAAGUCACCUGAUUACAACAGCCUGAUGCUUACCUAUCUUGCACAGAAAAAAAAAGCCCCGCACGUUGAACGGUAUUCAUGUAUUCGUGUUACUGCGCAAAUAAAAUUACGUCUUGGUGUUGAAGGAGUGGAUAGGGACAUGUUUUGUUUCUUUAGCAACCGAAGAUGUUUCAAAUCCAAUCUAACGCAAGAAAAUGUUUGUUGAAUGCUCACGUUAUUGCCACUGUCAUCUUUGCAUGAAAGUAAAAUGCAGAUGAUUUUACUUUUAUCCUUUAAGGAGUGCUCUGCAGUAACAUCUAGAACAAAUCAGUUUCAAGGAUAUGAAGCUAUAAAUACCAGCCCAGCAUUAGGUGCACAGAAAAGACCAGGAAAUUUGACAGCAUGCUCUACAUCCUAUGUCCUUGAGAGUGCUUUCGGGGUUGGGGUGGGGUUAUUGAAGAACCCAGGGUUCCCCACAGCCCUCCUCCCCCAGGACUCCCACAGAAGCCGUACACAUGGAACAGCAGCCUCAGACAAGAAUCAGUGCAUGGCCUUAUUUUGUGGUCACGCAUAGCCUGUGGCAGGGCUCAGGUAAUUUCAUGGAGUUCAGCCUCUUGCCCUAAACAGACCUCUUAACCUUGUCUCAGGCUCACGUCUGUAUGUGGGAACCUUCCCAAGCUGUGGAGAGCUGACCGGUGGAGGAAGCCAAAGCAGUGAGCAGAGAGAACAGAGCCUGCUGAGGCCAGGCCCCCCUGCCGCAGAGCUCAGAAGAGCCAGGGAAGAAAAAAUCUCAUGUGUGACCCUUUAAUGGACAGAGACCUUAUCCUCUCAUCAACACAGGCCAGUCCAUGUCAUAAGCCAGUUUUAUUCUCAAGUCCUCACUGGGGCAGAGCGCAGAAAGGGACCUGGGGGCAGGUUAGGGAGGUGGCGUCUGUCUCACACAGUCUGACAGUCCUGGUCUUUGUGCUCCUUUGCUGGUCACAGCUCCCUGACCUCUUUCUUCCCCCGUCUCCACCCAGACAGGGCCGGUCCUGAAGGAACGCCUCGAGCCACACCUGUUUGGCCCUGAAUUGCUUUCCACGUAGCGUUGACCACGUUAUGGCCCAGGACCUUCACGUGUCCACGUAUACACGGGAUUUCUCUAGACUGCAGGCCACACGAUGGUUUUAAUUACAAGGAGGGAUGGCUCUGCCCAGUUGUGUCUUACACUGCUCGUCCUCCGAUUCCUUGGAGUUUCCCACUUCCUUAAACAGAAAAGGAAUUUCUGACAGAAACCCUGGAAGAGCUUCUAAGAGGGAAAAUGGCUGGGGUGGGUAAAUUCUCAAGUAACUCGAAACACUCCCAAAUUUUUAGUGUUAGAGCAGGUGGAAAAAUGUGCUCCAGGGAGUGAUGUGUUGUGCAAUCGUUGGCCUUGGUGAGGAUUUCACCACCUUCUGUGAUCUUCCUGUUUUCCCAUGACCAGUUUUAUAAAAAUUCAGGUUUUUCACUUGCCAGACCUUGACCCCAGGGUCCACACCGGAGCCUGAGAGCUGUUGCAGAGCUGAGUAUUGGGUGUAGUUUGGAAUCACUCAGGGCAUUUCUACAGACCAAGCCAUCCUGGGUCCCGUUUCCUGUCAACAGGAAAGCCUGGGUCUCAGCCUGCAGCAGGAGCUCUGGGAGGCUUGCCUAGGCCUGGAGGUCCCUGGCAGUUUGGGGAGUUUGUGCAUGUAAGGUGUUCCAGCAGGUUGAGUGAGAAGUGAUGCAAGAGAAAUCUGACAAGGUUUUUCCGCUCCUUGGUUUAAAACACACGUAGGUAUGGGAGUUGCUGUCACGGCUCAGUGGUUUACAAACAUGACUAGUAUCCAUGAGGACACAGGUUCAAUCCCUGGCCUUGCUCAUUGGGUUAAGGAUCUGGCGUUGUUGUGAGCUGUGGUGUAGAUUGCAGGUGUGGCUUGGAUCCCGAGUUGCUGUGACUGUGGUGUAGGCCGGUGGCUACAGCUCCAAUUGGACACCUAGCCUGGAAACCAGCAUGUGCUGUGCGGAUGGGGCCCUAAAAAAAAAAAUGACAAAAGAAAAAAAAAAAGGUACGGUGUGUGAUUGGUGUAUUUUUUGGACUGGGAAGAUGAAUUAAACAUAGAAUUACCAUACGGUCCGGUAUUUCCACUUUGCCAGUUAUGUACCCAAACGAAUGGACUCGAAUAUUUGUGCACCUGUGUUUACAGCAGCAUCAUUCGCAAUAGACAAAAGGUAGGAGCAACCCAAGUGUCUGUUGAUGGAUGUGUGGAUAAAUAAAGUGCAUAUUCAUACAAGGAAAUGUUAAUUGGCAUUAGUAAGAACAUUCUGACACAUGCAACAAAGUGGAUAAACCUUGACCCUGGCUAAUUGAAAUGACCCAGACGUAAAAGGACAAAUACUGUAUGAGUUUUCUUAUGUGGCAUUCCUAGGGUAGUCAGAUUCAUAGAACCACAAAGAGAAACAGUGAUUGCCUGGGGCUGGAGGAAGGGGGAAACGGGGAAACUUAUGUUUAACAAGAACAGAUUUAUUGAGGAAGAAAAAAUUCUGGAGCUAGAUGGUGGUGGUGUUACAUUGUGGAUGUACUCAGUACCACAGACCAUACACUUAAAAGUGGCUAAGAUGGUAAAUUUCAUGUCUGUUUUACCACUUCUCUCAAAAAAAAAAAAAAAGCAUUUCGGGGUAAUAGCACUGUUGUGUUGCAGCUAACAACAGGACUGAGUUGAUUGCUCUCUUCUUUAGACAGUCCAGUGUGAAGAUAAUUGCUAUUUCAAAUAAGCAAUUAAAGUAUAAUUCCCCAUGUCUUUAUGCAUUUAAAGUUCUCUAAUCUGUAGACUGUUAGACAUAUUUCCAGGGUUUCUGACAUAGCUUAACAUCACUUUAAAAUUCUGUAAAAGAUAAAACCAUAAUAGCAGUGAGAGUACCAAAGGCAGAAUGAGACAACGGCCUCAACAAGAAGGCAGGUGAUGGGGCAUUUGAUGCUGGCCGUAUGCCUUUUCUGGUGAAAUUGGGCAAUGCACUGGACCAUUUCAUGCAUUCCAUGCUCCACCUGCCUCCUUUGCCUACCUCUUUGGAGUCCUGAUAAAGAUGUGUGUGUGUGUGUGUGUGUGUGUGUGUGUGUGUAAACUGUAUAUUAUACAGAAUUCCCUGGUGGCUCAGUGGGUUAAAGAUCUGGCUUUGUUACUGCUGUAGUUCUGGUUACAGCUGUGGUGCAUGUUCAGUCCCUAGCCUGGGAACUCAGGCAUGCCUUGAGCACGGCCAAAAACAAUGUUUACUGUAUGUUUGUAUCCUAUGAAUUAUAUAUAUAUGUGUGUGUAUGUAUGUAGACCAUUUGGUGACUAAAGCAACAUUCAAGUGGUGUAUUUCAUGUUCUCAAAAUGUAGACAUACAAUGUCUGAAAAGAAUAGCAUUAGUACUUUAAAAUAAAGUUUUAAAACGCAUCCUAAAUGGACUUGGAACUCAAGUACUCUCAGCCUCAUUAAAAACAUUCUAUAGCUUGCUGUCAAUCAUAAAAGUUUUUUUUUUCCUAUUAUACGUUGAAAUUUGAACAUGAGGAAAGUAAAAACAGAGACGAGAAUCAGCAACAGCUUUCUCUGCAGAAUCACAUGUUGUUAGCUGUGAGUUGAAAGCAUCUCUGGGCUGUGUCUCCUUCAUCAUGAAGCUCUCAUUAGAGGUCACGCUCUGGAAAGCAGAUUUUGGUCGUAGGCACCACGCUGCUGGAUCCCAAGCAGUUUUCUACCGACUGUGUCCAGUCCCCUGGCACUUGGCUUUUCUUGCGGUGUACUUGUCACAGUUGAACUACAUAGAUGUACAUGUUUGGAGGGUGUGUAUGUUUAAUGUCUUCUUAGAUGGUGAGUUCUUUGAGGGCAGGGACCAUGGCUGUAUCCAUUGCUAUGUGCUUGGCACAGAUCUUGGCAUGUGGUUUGCAGUAGAAAUUGAAUGUGUGAGACGCUGAAUGGAGUCUUUCCUCUCUUCUAACAAUGGGUUAGCCAAAUCCACAGCUAAAAAGGUGGUUGGUUGGUUUGUUUCUUCUUUUUUUUUGGCCACACCCCAGGCUAGGGGGCUGAUUGGAGCUGCAGCUGCCGGCCCACACCACAGCCACAGCAACACUGAAUCCAAGCCUCAUCCUCGGCCCACACCGCAGCUUGCAACAAUGCUGGAUUCUGAACCCACUGAGUGAGGCCAGGGAUGGAACCUACAUCCUCACAGACACUGUGUCAGGUUCUUAACCCACCAAGCCACAAUUUAGGGAACUCCUAAAAAGGUAUUUUAACUACCCACUUUUCAGAGUUCCCUGGUGGCCUAUUGGGUUAGGGUUCCAGUGUUAUCACUGCUAUGGCUCGGGUCACUGUUGUGGGGCUGAUUUGAUCUCUGGCCCAGGAACCUCUGCAUGCUACAGGUAAGGCAAAAAAAAAAAAAAAAAAAAUCUCUGCUUUUCUAUGAUCAGAGAACUAUAGCUCUGUGGCUAGUAUUUUUUUGCCAAACUUUUUCAAAAGCUGCCAUUUCAGCAGAACCAACUCUCAGAUUGCCCUGGUCCCUGACGCCCACCCAAGUGAAAGAGGGGUGGCGGUGGGAGAGAAGUUUUCUCAGGAGCAUUCCCCAGAGCUCACCUUCUGUCUGAAAAUUGGUGGGUCACUGGCUGUCCCAGAAAGAGCUCCCCAUGUCCGGCCUCUGCAAAACUAAGAGAAGGAGCCAGGAAGAGAGAGGAAAGAAGGUGAGAUGCCAGAUUCGGUGGACGAGGAUGUGUUUCUUGGACACUGUUGUCAAGGGGGAUGAAUCUGUGGAAGGUGGCUUGGGACUUAAAUUAACCUGGCCAGUACCCCCUCAGAAGGGCAGCCCCACAACCCACGAGUGGACCCCAGGAGUGAGCCGGCAUCUGGGUGGUAUCUCAAAGGACAAGCCUCUCUCUGGUCAGGCAGAAAACUCAUCUCCAUCCAGAGGGGUGGCUCACCCGGUAACCCGCUAUGGAGCUUCUGAAGAGCUGAGCCCCAUUUUGUGCAGAGCUUUUGGCACGAUCUCAUUUCAGCAGAACCAGCUCUCAGGUUCACUGUGAGUAGCUAUGAAGGGGACCAACCAAGAGAGUGGGCUCAGGGAGAAGGGGAGGGGCGGGGUGAGAGAGACCACCCCACUCCUCCAGCCCAGCCCUGGAGCCUGGGGCCUCGCCCGGCUGGAGAGUGCUGACAGUGAACGUGGGAUUUAUGUCCUCGUCAAAAUGAAACACUUAGCAACUCAGCUUGGUUAGGGGUCCUUUGUGGCCCUUACCACUCAAGAGGAAAGGGGCGUUAGAGCACAAGAGUAGAAGUUACUGAGCAUGCGGGGCGUUCCUGCUGUGGCUCAGCGGAUAAAGACUCCAACUGGCGGAGUUCCCAUCGUGGCGCAGUGGUUAACGAAUCCAACUAGGAACCAUGAGGUUGCGGGUUCUAUCCCUUCCCUUGCUCAGUGGGUUAACAAUCCGGUGUUGCCAUGAGCUGUGGUGUAGGUUGCAGACGCGGCUCGGAUCCCGCGUUGCUGUGGCUCUGGCGUAGGCCGGUGGCUACAGCUGUGAUUCAACCCCUAGCCUGGGAACCCAUAUGCCGCGGGAGCGGCCCAAGAAAUAGCAACAACAACAACAACAAC
This 6273-nucleotide long non-coding RNA is filed under the name Sus scrofa (pig). RNAcentral describes it as "lncRNA (ENSSSCG00045026655.1)". The stretch from base 259 to 333 matches the Rfam family "mir-101 microRNA precursor family". The record is from RNAcentral. Lineage: Eukaryota; Metazoa; Chordata; Mammalia; Artiodactyla; Suidae.